AGUGAACGCUGGCGGUAGGCCUAACACAUGCAAGUCGAACGGCAGCACAGUAAGAGCUUGCUCUUACGGGUGGCGAGUGGCGGACGGGUGAGGAAUACAUCGGAAUCUACUUUUUCGUGGGGGAUAACGUAGGGAAACUUACGCUAAUACCGCAUACGACCUACGGGUGAAAGCAGGGGAUCUUCGGACCUUGCGCGAUUGAAUGAGCCGAUGUCGGAUUAGCUAGUUGGCGGGGUAAAGGACCACCAAGGCGACGAUCCGUAGCUGGUCUGAGAGGAUGAUCAGCCACACUGGAACUGAAACACUGUCCAGACUCCUACGGGAGGCAGCAGUGGGGAAUAUUGGACAAUGGGCGCAAGCCUGAUCCAGCCAUACCGCGUGGGUGAAGAAGGCCUUCGGGUUUUAAAGCCCUUUUGUUGGGAAAGAAAAGCAGCAGGUUAAUACCCCGCUGUUCUGACGGUACCCAAAGAAUAAGCACCGGCUAGCUUCGUG
Molecule: ribosomal RNA, 492 nt
Filed under: uncultured bacterium
Lineage: Bacteria
Description: partial 16S ribosomal RNA
Rfam family: Bacterial small subunit ribosomal RNA
Source: RNAcentral